AGGAACCGAAAAAUGCAUCCUUGGGGAUUUACUUGAAAUCAUAUCGUUAACACAGCACUUUUCCAAUUUCAAAGUGAAAGGGAGCUUGCCACAAAGUUGAUGAUGAACACAAAAUGGUUAAAAAUACAAGUUUAGAGCUGCAGCAGCUUCUCCUAGCUCUGCAUCCCAGUUAUGUAAAGGUUUAGAGCUGCAACAGCUUCUCCUACCUAAUAUUUGUGAAUGGAAACUUCAUAUGGAGUAUCUGUUAACUCGAAAGUCAAAAGUCAGAACUUUUGCAGUUUCUCUUGCCUCCUGAUUGUCAGUUUCCAAGUUAUGACAGAGCAGAAUGACGAAGUAAGAACCGAAUGAGUGCACCAUGUUGUUCAGCGACUGUAUAAUAGAUAGGUUAUGUUGAAGGAAC
This is a long non-coding RNA of Spinacia oleracea (spinach), 400 nucleotides long. RefSeq lists it as uncharacterized. The transcript is spliced from 4 exons. The record is from RefSeq and is a predicted model, not a curated record. Lineage: Eukaryota; Viridiplantae; Streptophyta; Magnoliopsida; Caryophyllales; Amaranthaceae.